This 467-nucleotide ribosomal RNA is filed under the name uncultured bacterium. RNAcentral describes it as "partial 16S ribosomal RNA". It matches the Rfam family "Bacterial small subunit ribosomal RNA", at positions 28 to 507 of the family's 1533-position model. The record is from RNAcentral.
GACGAACGCUGGCGGCGUGCUUAACACAUGCAAGUCGAACGGAAAGGCCCUGCUUUUGUGGGGUGCUCGAGUGGCGAACGGGUGAGUAACACGUGAGUAACCUGCCCUUGACUUUGGGAUAACUUCAGGAAACUGGGGCUAAUACCGGAUAGGAGCUCCUGCUGCAUGGUGGGGGUUGGAAAGUUUCGGCGGUUGGGGAUGGACUCGCGGCUUAUCAGCUUGUUGGUGGGGUAGUGGCUUACCAAGGCUAUGACGGGUAGCCGGCCUGAGAGGGUGACCGGCCACAUUGGGACUGAGAUACGGCCCAGACUCCUACGGGAGGCAGCAGUGGGAAUAUUGCACAAUGGGCGGAAGCCUGAUGCAGCAACGCCGCGUGCGGGAUGACGGCCUUCGGGUUGUAAACCGCUUUCGCCUGUGACGAAGCGUGAGUGACGGUAAUGGGUAAAGAAGCACCGGCUAACUACGUG